GACGAACGCUGGCGGCGUGCUUAACACAUGCAAGUCGAACGCUGAAGCUCAGCUUGCUGGGUGGAUGAGUGGCGAACGGGUGAGUAACACGUGAGUAACCUGCCCUCUUCUUUGGGAUAACGCCCGGAAACGGGUGCUAAUACUGGAUAUUCACUGAUUCUCGCAUGGGGGUUGGUGGAAAGGUUUUUUCUGGUGGGGGAUGGGCUCGCGGCCUAUCAGCUUGUUGGUGGGGUGAUGGCCUACCAAGGCUUUGACGGGUAGCCGGCCUGGGAGGGUGACCGGUCACAUUGGGACGGAGAUACGGCCCAGACUCCUACGGGAGGCAGCAGUGGGGAAUAUUGCACAAUGGGCGAAAGCCUGAUGCAGCGACGCCGCGUGAGGGAUGGAGGCCUUCGGGUUGUAAACCUCUUUCGCUCAUGGUCAAGCCGCAGCUUUGGGUUGUGGUGAGGGUAGUGGGUAAAGAAGCGCCGGCUAACUACGUG
This 482-nucleotide ribosomal RNA is filed under the name uncultured bacterium. RNAcentral's name for it is "partial 16S ribosomal RNA". It matches the Rfam family "Bacterial small subunit ribosomal RNA", at positions 28 to 507 of the family's 1533-position model. The record is from RNAcentral.